GAAUCCCUGCCGUGUUCGCGUAUAUGUCGCUGUUAUAUAAUCCAACACUUUCCAAAAGGGAGUCCGGCUCUGUGUCAACGAUUGCAGACCUCCCGGCCUUGUGCCGGACGAAGGGAGCAUGAACGCCACAGGAGGACACCCACCUGUCGUAAGACGGGUUUUAUGUGGCGACAUACGGCGUGGCGGGGUAUUU
RNAcentral lists this non-coding RNA (193 nucleotides) under Oscillospiraceae bacterium. RNAcentral describes it as "6S RNA". It matches the Rfam family "6S / SsrS RNA". From Rfam's summary of the family: E. coli 6S RNA was the first non coding RNA to be sequenced, but its function was unknown until recently. It consists of 184 nucleotides that fold into an extended hairpin structure with a large single-stranded internal bulge. Lineage: Bacteria; Bacillati; Bacillota; Clostridia; Eubacteriales; Oscillospiraceae. The record is from RNAcentral.